RNAcentral lists this ribosomal RNA (429 nucleotides) under Bacteroidota bacterium. RNAcentral describes it as "Bacteroidetes bacterium partial 16S ribosomal RNA". It matches the Rfam family "Bacterial small subunit ribosomal RNA", at positions 355 to 776 of the family's 1533-position model. Lineage: Bacteria; Pseudomonadati; Bacteroidota. The record is from RNAcentral.
UAGGGAAUCUUCGGCAAUGGGGGGAACCCUGACCGAGCAACGCCGCGUGAGUGAAGAAGGUUUUCGGAUCGUAAAGCUCUGUUGUUAAGGAAGAACGAGUGUGAGAAUGGAAAGUUCAUACUGUGACGGUACUUAACCAGAAAGGGACGGCUAACUACGUGCCAGCAGCCGCGGUAAUACGUAGGUCCCGAGCGUUGUCCGGAUUUAUUGGGCGUAAAGCGAGCGCAGGCGGUUAGAUAAGUCUGAAGUUAAAGGCAGUGGCUCAACCAUUGUAGGCUUUGGAAACUGUUUAACUUGAGUGCAGAAGGGGGGAGUGGAAUUCCAUGUGUAGCGGAGAAAUGCGUAGAUAUAUGGAGGAACACCGGUGGCGAAAGCGGCUCUCUGGUCUGUAACUGACGCUGAGGCUCGAAAGCGUGGGGAGCGAACAGG